AAAAUCUGGUCAUGUGCGAUGUCUGCUCUUCGGUGAAAUUGUGCAAAACAUUGUGAAAGGACAGUCUUUCGGGACACGAUCGACAUGUGAAGAGUAUUUUGACAACACAUAAUGCACGACGCUUAUGAGGCAGCUCCAAUUCUGGAGAAACUCCCUCUCCAAAUUGAAUCCAUAGCAUGUUAUGAUGAUAUUUUGCUGGUUGGAACAAAGCAAGGGCACCUGCUGCAGUACAAGAUCAAAAGAAGUACAAGGGUGCAAGAAAAGAAAUUUGAGGUUACCUUGGAGAGAUCAAACAAAUCCUUUUCCAAGAAACCAAUCACACAGUUGACUGCUGUUCCUGACCACUACAUUCUGAUAAGUCUCUCUGAUAAUGUCAUCAGCGUACACGACCUGCAGUCGUUUGGCCUCGUCACCUGCGUCACUAAGACGAAGGGCGCUACGCUGUUUGCCGCAGAUGUACAGAAAAAUUCCUCCAUCACUGGUGGGGCACAGACCACUCUCAGGAUAGGUGUGUCCUCCAAGAGAAGGGUGCAGUUGUUUUACUGGAAAAACAGAGACUUCCAUGAAUUGUUGGCAGACCUGAGUCUGUACGAUAUUCCGCGAGCAAUGGCUUGGUGUAAGGAAUCUCUAUGUGUGGGAUUCCGCAGAGAGUACUACAUGAUCAGCGUUAAAAAUGGUGAGCUGACGGAACUGUUCCCUGUUGGGAGCCGCCAGGUGGAGCCCAUUGUCACCAAACUAGCCAAUGACCGUCUGGCACUUGGUCGAGAUGAAAUGUCCAUUUUGAUAGAUGGCGAGGGCAAACCUGCUCGGAAGGAGCCGGUCAAGUGGUCAGACAUUCCCAUAGCUAUAGAAAAUAAUGCACCCUAUGUGUUAGCCAUCUUACCCAAGUAUGUAGAAGUCCGAACUAUUGAACCUAACCUGAACAUCCAGAGUAUAGAGCUCUCCAAGCCAAGACUGGUGUGUCAGGGGAGCAACACUGUGUAUGUAGCUUCAUCCAACUUUGUGUGGAGACUGGCCCCAAUGCCCAUUUCUCACCAGAUUAAACAGCUGCUGCACGGGAAGGAGUUCAAACUGGCUCUACACUUAGCCGAAAUGCAAGAUGAACCUGACUCCGAGAAGGAGAAGAGGAUCAGAAGCAUCAACAACCUGUAUGCCUUUGAUCUGUUCUGUCAGCACAAGUUUGAGGAAUCCAUGAAGAUAUUUGACUCCCUCGGGACAGAUCCAUCUCAUGUCAUAGGGUUGUACCCCAACCUGCUUCCCCAGGACUUCCGGAACCAGCUGGAGUAUCCGGACCGACUGCCGGACCUGGAGGGCGGAGAGCUGGAGAAGGGAAUGCUUGCACUCAUCGACUAUCUCACUGAGAAGAGAAACCAGCUACUGAAGGACCUGAACAAGGACAUGGCAACAACGGCCAUUGUGGAGGGCAACGUCACCAUCCGCUCCAAGAAGCAGCUGAGCCAGAUCAUAGACACAACUCUCCUGAAAUGUUACCUCCAGACAAAUGAUGCGCUUGUGGCACCGCUGCUGAGACUGAAGGACAACAACUGCCACGUGGAGGAGAGCGAGCGGGUGCUCAAGAAGAAGGAGAAGUUCAGUGAGCUCAUCAUCCUGUAUGAGAAGAAAAAUCUCAAUCAAAAAGCCCUGAACCUGUUGAUGAAGCAGGCAGCACGUCCAGACUCUCCAUUGAAAGGUCACGACCGGACAGUCCAGUAUCUACAGCAUCUGGGUGCUGAGCAUCUGGCUCUGAUAUUUGAGUACUCCGAGUGGGUACUGAGGAAACACCCGGAGGAUGGGCUGAAGAUAUUUACUGAAGAUACACCUGAGAUUGAAAGUCUUCCAAGAGAUGAGGUGCUAGAGUUUCUAGAGAGGAUGUCAAAAGAUCUGGCUAUACCAUAUCUUGAACACAUUAUUUCUCAAUGUGAUGAUGAGACGCCAGAAUUUCACAACCGCUUAGUGCACCUGUACCGAGAGAAGAUCCAGGUGCUAUCUGAGGACUAUGUUGAGUCUCUACCUGAAGCAGGAGAUCGUCUUGACAAAUCGAAAAACGAACCGGUGGAGUUGGAGGAGUACAGGGUGAAGCUGGUGGUGUUCCUGCAGACGUCCCAGCACUACGUCCCUGAGAUGCUGCUGGCAAGGUUCCCGCUGGAUAACUUCUAUGAGAGAGAGCAAUCCUACUGGGUCGGCUGGGAAGACAUGAGCAGGCUCUUGGCAUCUACAUCCACAUCUUGAAAGAUCCCCGUCUGGCUGAAGUGUAUUGUCGGACACAUUUUGAUAAAGAUAAGGAAGGGAACAAAGACGUGUAUGUGUGUCUGCUGAAGAUGUAUCUCCAGCCUCCGGAACCCUCCACACUCGGGAUGGCUCCUGAUGGGCAUGUCAGCAC
This 2380-nucleotide unclassified non-coding RNA is filed under the name Haliotis rubra (blacklip abalone). RNAcentral's name for it is "vam6/Vps39-like protein, transcript variant X2". Lineage: Eukaryota; Metazoa; Mollusca; Gastropoda; Lepetellida; Haliotidae. The record is from RNAcentral.